RNAcentral lists this transfer RNA (76 nucleotides) under Acetobacter thailandicus. RNAcentral describes it as "tRNA-Glu". Lineage: Bacteria; Pseudomonadati; Pseudomonadota; Alphaproteobacteria; Acetobacterales; Acetobacteraceae. The record is from RNAcentral.
UAAGGAAUGGAUAGAAUUAAACUUUUUUUGCCCUCUCACGGCGGCAACACGGGUUCGAAUCCCGUACGGGACGCCA